This 427-nucleotide ribosomal RNA is filed under the name uncultured bacterium. Its description in RNAcentral is "bacterial SSU rRNA". It matches the Rfam family "Bacterial small subunit ribosomal RNA", at positions 355 to 776 of the family's 1533-position model. The record is from RNAcentral.
UCGAGAAUUUUUCUCAAUGGGCGCAAGCCUGAAGGAGCGACGCCGCGUGGAGGAUGAAGGUCUUCGGAUUGUAAACUCCUGUCAUUUGGGAACAAACCUCCCGGUUAACUGCCGGAGAGCUGAUAGUACCAGAAGAGGAAGAGACGGCUAACUCUGUGCCAGCAGCCGCGGUAAUACAGAGGUCUCAACCGUUGUUCGGAUUCAUUGGGCGUAAAGGGUGCGUAGGCUGCGAGGUAAGUCAGGUGUGAAAUCUUGGGGCUCAACCCCGAAACUGCACUUGAUACUGCCUCGCUCGAGUACUGGAGAGGAGACUGGAAUUUACGGUGUAGCAGUGAAAUGCGUAGAUAUCGUAAGGAAGACCAGUGGCGAAGGCGAGUCUCUGGACAGUUACUGACGCUGAGGCACGAAGGCCAGGGGAGCAAACGGG